RNAcentral lists this small nuclear RNA (95 nucleotides) under Dasypus novemcinctus (nine-banded armadillo). The record is from RNAcentral. Lineage: Eukaryota; Metazoa; Chordata; Mammalia; Cingulata; Dasypodidae.
GGCAGCACUAUACUAAAAUUGGAACGAUACAAAGAAGAUUAGCAUGGCCCCUGUACAAGGAUGACAUGCAAAUUUGUGAAGCAUUUCAUAUUAAA